Molecule: unclassified non-coding RNA, 256 nt
Filed under: Hevea brasiliensis (rubber tree)
Lineage: Eukaryota; Viridiplantae; Streptophyta; Magnoliopsida; Malpighiales; Euphorbiaceae
Source: RNAcentral
AUGACUUGUCAUUCUUCCCAAACACAACUAUGAACCAUACUUACAUUAAGAAGUCACGACUUACCAUGAUCCAAAUAAUGGUUAAUGACAGUUGUACUAAAAAAUGACAAAUGAUAAAAUUUUAAAUUACUUUUUAAAAUAUGUGACAUAGUUUCGUGAGCUUAUUUAUAUGCUUUGGUUUUAAUAUAUUGUGAGCCAUACUUACAUUAAGAAGCUAGGACUUACCAUGAUCUAAAUAAUAGGUUAACGAUAACUA